AUGCUAGAGGACGCCACUCACAAAAGGGCUCAGUGGACCAUUGAGGUCCAGGUGUUCCAGCACGGGGGUGCCGGGCAGCUGCUCCCAGAAGACCAAGGCUGCGUCCAAGGGCAAAGGAGGGGAUUGGUCCAUCUGCCCAAACCACAACCCGGCUUAUCACCUCCACUUCCCCCGACUCCGCCUCCUCUUCCUCUUCCUCCUCCUCCUUCACCUCCUCCUCCUCCACCUCCUCCUCCUCCACCUCCUCCUCCUCCACCUCCUCCUCCUCCUCCUCCUCCUCCUCUUCCUCCUCCUCUUCCUCCUCCUCCUCUUCCUCCUCCUCCUCCACCUCCUCCUCCACCUCCUCCUCCUCUUCCUCCUCCUCCUCCUCCUCCUCUUCCUCCUCCUCCUCUCCACCUCCUCCUCCACCUCCUCCUCCUCCACCUCCUCCUCCACCUCCUCCUCCACUUUCUCCUCCUCCUCCUCCUCUUCCUCCACUUUCUCCUCCUCCUCCUCACCUCCUCCUCCUCUCCUUCCUCCUCCUCUCCUCUUCCUCCUCCUCCUCUUCCUCCUCCUCCUCUCUUCCUCCUCCCCUCCACCUCCUCUCCACCUCCUCCUCCACCUCCUCCUCCUCCACCUCCUCCUCCUCUUCCUCCUCCUCUCCUCCUCCUCUUCCUCCGCCUCCUCCUCCUCCUCUUCCUCCUCUUCCUCUCCUCCUCUUCCUUCUCCUCCUCCUCCUCCACCCCUCCUCCACCUCCACCUCCUCCUCCUCCACUUCCUCCUCCUCCUCCUCCGCUUCCUCCUCCUCUCCUCCACUUUCUCCUCCUCCUCCUCCUCCUCCUCUCCUUCCUCCUCCUCCUUCCUCUUCCUCCUCCCCCUCUUCCUCCUCCUCCUCUUCCUCCUCUCCUCCUUCCUCCUCCCCUCCUCUUCCUCCUCCUUCCUCCUCCUCCCCUCCUCUUCCUUCCUCCUCCUCCUUCCUCCUCCUCUUCCUCCUCCGCCUCUUCCUCCUCCUCCUCCACCUCCUCCUCCACCUCCUCCUCCACCCCUCCUCCACCUCCUCCUCCACUCCUCCUCCACCUCCUCCUCCUCCACUUUCUCCUCCUCCUCCUCUUCCUCCUCCUCUCUUCCUCCACUUUCUCCUCCUCCUCUCUCCUCCUCCUCUCUCCUCCUCCUCUCUUCCUCCUCCUUCCUCCUCCUCCUCUUCCUCCUCCUCUUCCUCCUCCUCUCUUCCUCCACCUCCUCCUCCACCUCCUCCACCUCCACCUCCUCCUCCUCUACCUCUUCCUCCUCCUCCUCCUUCCUCCUCUUCCUUCCUCCUCCUCUCCACCUCCUCCUCCUCUCCACCUCCUCCUCCCCCUCUUCCUCCUCCUCCUCUCCUUCCUCCUCUUCCUCCGCCUCCUCCUCCUCUGCUUCCUCCUCCUCCUCUUCCCUCCUCCUCUCCUUCCUCCUCUUCCUCCUCCUCUUCCUCCUCCUCUCCACCUCCUCCUCCUCACCUCCUCCUCCUUCCUCCUCCUCUCCUUCCUCCUCCUCCUCUUCCUCCUCCUCCUCUUCCUCCUCCUCCUCCUCCUUCCUCCUCCUCCUCUCUCCUCCUCCUCCGCCUCUUCCUCCUCUUCCUUCCUCCUCUUCUCCUCCUCUGCUUCCUCCUCUUCCUCUUCCUCCUCCUCUACCUCUUCCUCUCCUCCUUCCUCCUCCCCUCCUCCUCUCCUCUUCCUCCUCUUCCUCUCCUCCUCUUCCUCCCCUCCUCUUCCUCCUCUCCUUCCUCCUCCUCCUCCUCUUCCUCCACCUCCUCCUCUUCCUCCUCCUCCUCCACUUCCUCCUCCUCCUCCUUCCUCCUCCUCUUCCUCUUCCUCCUCUUCUCCUCCUCCUCUUCCUCUUCCUCCUCCUCUCUCCUCCUCUUCCUCCUCCUCCUCUUCCUUCUCCUCCUCUUCCCCUCUUCCUCCUCCUCCUCCUCUUCCUCUCCUCCUCCUCCUCCUCCUCUUCCUCUUCCUCUCCUCCUCCUCCUCUUCCUCCUCCUCCUCUUCCUCUUCCUCCUCUUCCUCCUCCUCCUCCUCCUCCUCCUCCUCCCUCCUCCUCUUCCUUCUCCUCCUCUUCCUCCUCCGCCUCUUCCUCCUCCUCCUCCUCUUCCGCCUCCUCCUCCUCCUCUUCCUUCUCCUCCUCUUCCUCUUCCUCCUCCUCUUCCUCCUCCUCCUCCUCCACCUCUCCUCCACCUCCUCCACCUCCUCCACCUCCACCUCUAGCUCCAAGGCCCUUUACCUCCUAAAGACCCCUUCUGGCACCAGGCUGCCACUCUGGGCCCCUGCUCUAAAGGGCGAGGCUUCAGCGCUUGGUACAGUCGUGCCAGGCCGUGGGAUGGGCCAAGAAGCAAGACCUCCAGGAUCCGAUGUGACCAGAAGCUGCAAGCGGAGGGGACCCCGGGGCGAGCCGAGAGCAGGUGGCUUGGAUCUGGGUCAGCUGGGGAUCCGGGCCGCCUCGGACAGCGGGGGGCUUGGGGGCAGCCAAGCUGGGCUAACACCAUGA
RNAcentral lists this long non-coding RNA (2496 nucleotides) under Felis catus (domestic cat). RNAcentral's name for it is "lncRNA (ENSFCAG00000053455.1)". Lineage: Eukaryota; Metazoa; Chordata; Mammalia; Carnivora; Felidae. The record is from RNAcentral.